CUGGAGGGGCCGUAUUGAUAAUAUCCCAGCCUGCAAGGCUCAAUCCAUCCCCUGGGGCGCUCAGCGGCAAGUGGAUGAAGAGUCCCCGGACGGUCUUUUGGCUCUACAGCUAGACACUGCAGCAGAGGAAGAGAUCUGAACACGAUAGAAGGCAGAGUGAGGGACAGAGAGCAGUGAUCACAGAGGAGGCGAGGAGGGAAGAGAGGCGAGAGAAUGACAGCCGACGCCGAGGAUCGUCCGUCUCUCUUCUCUCCCAUCAGAAGUGCUAAUCCAGCCAGUGGAGGUGCAGACCACCGCUCACACCUGCCUGCUCCUCUCCAUCUUGUUAGGGGCCAGAUGGGAGGGAAAGUGACUUCCUGCUGUACUUCCACCACAGGGCUCAUUCCCUCACAUUAAUACCUUUGCUGCUCGGCUCCAUUUGUUACACACACUCAAGACACACACUCAGGGGGAGCCCGGGGCUGUGAAUGAUGGCCAUAUGCAGAACAGUGCUCAUCUAUAACCCCCUGUGGCUGGAACAAAGUACAGUAGACUCCUUGAGUGUUGAUACCAAGGUUAACAUUUGGAAGUGGUGCAGUGCAGUCUGAUUCAGCAGCUCUGUGCAGAAGUACGCCUGGCCGGGGCCAACGGGUCCAUAAAGGUUAGUGAAGUGGGUUUAUAGGCAGAAGGUCACUGGUUUAAAUUUCUGCGAGAGUGUAUGUGUGUGUGUAAAUAAAUAAAAACCUGGCAGGGAAGGUGAACGAGUGACUCGCUGCCCACUGGUGACCGCUCCGCAGCCAACAGCAGCCAGCGGUCACUGCGCAGCUCCCUGGUGUGAAA
This is a long non-coding RNA of Micropterus salmoides (largemouth bass), 819 nucleotides long. RefSeq lists it as uncharacterized. Lineage: Eukaryota; Metazoa; Chordata; Actinopteri; Centrarchiformes; Centrarchidae. The record is from RefSeq and is a predicted model, not a curated record. The transcript has 2 exons.